This 6444-nucleotide long non-coding RNA is filed under the name Homo sapiens (human). Its description in RNAcentral is "HSALNT0345126". The stretch from base 356 to 428 matches the Rfam family "mir-124 microRNA precursor family". The record is from RNAcentral. Lineage: Eukaryota; Metazoa; Chordata; Mammalia; Primates; Hominidae.
GGGGGAGGCACCCCUCCGUCUCCCACUUCCACCCACACCCCCAUCCCUCCACCCCCUCCGCUUUGCAGGAAAAAGCCUGGAUGCGAAAGGAUGGGGGAGAACAAAGAGCCUUUGGAAGACGUCGCUGUUAUCUCAUUGUCUGUGUGAUUGGGGGAGCUGCGGCGGGGAGGAUGCUGUGGUCCCUUCCUCCGGCGUUCCCCACCCCCAUCCCUCUCCCCGCUGUCAGUGCGCACGCACACGCGCCGCUUUUUAUUUCUUUUUCCUGGUUUUCUUAUUCCAUCUUCUACCCACCCCUCUUCCUUUCUUUCACCUUUCCUUCCUUCCUUCCUCCUUUCCUUCCUCAGGAGAAAGGCCUCUCUCUCCGUGUUCACAGCGGACCUUGAUUUAAAUGUCCAUACAAUUAAGGCACGCGGUGAAUGCCAAGAAUGGGGCUGGCUGAGCACCGUGGGUCGGCGAGGGCCCGCCAAGGAAGGAGCGACCGACCGAGCCAGGCGCCCUCCGCAGACCUCCGCGCAGCGGCCGCGGGCGCGAGGGGAGGGGUCUGGAGCUCCCUCCGGCUGCCUGUCCCGCACCGGAGCCCGUGGGGUGGGGAGGUGUGCAGCCUGUGACAGACAGGGGCUUAGAGAUGCAAACAGACUCAGGGAGAGAAACAGAAGCUGAUUCUGUGACAGAAGCAGAUCUGUGCAGCACAGAUGCGGUGUGCGUGGGGAGGGGGUCGCCUGGGAGCGCAUUGCGGAGUGCUUGUGUGUGCAGAUUUUUCUCUGGGCUCAGGACUCAUUGUAUGUGGGUCAACACCUUCCUCCGUGACUGUGUUUUUGUUCUGAGCUGAGUUUUUUGGUUUGCCCUUAAAAAAAUAAUAAUUUGGCAUCCAGAGACUGGCAGACUGCCUCAGGGCCUGGACUGCGGAUAUAUUGUGUUCUGCUUGAGGUUUGGGGAGGAGGGCAGGCGGUAGGAAGGGAGAGGGGGAGCUGUUUGUCACACUUUGCUGUAGAGCUGAGAGCACCUGACAAGCUUAAGGAAGUCGUUGGGCUAUGUGGACAAGAAGGAGCCAGCUCCCAGCGGGUUCACAAGCUCUAUCGGAGUUGAAAGCGUGGUCAUGGCUCUAAGGAGCACCUCACGCCCUCCCUGUAGCUGUUAUUGCAGUUUCAGGCAGAGAUCCAGGAGCUGCAGAGGAAGGGAGAGGCACAAUAACCUACAUGGACCCAAGGGAGACAUGUGUUCCUUUAAAAAUGUGAACAGAAGGAAAAACAGAAUGUGUGCAACUGGGGGUCUGAGGAAAGACUGUUUUGAAAGAGGCUGUCAGGGAAUGGAAAGGGUUAAGCUUUUCAUCCUGAAGAACCUGCUUCCCAAAUCAGGCCUUCCUCCCAUCACUAGACCCUGAGCAGCAGCUGGUCCUAGAGACCCCCCUCGUACUGCGCUGCCACAGUCUCAUCCCAUUUCCAGCUCUGUAUUAACCACCAAGCUGCAGCGGAUGGGGCAAGACCUAAGCUCAUUAAUUUCCAGGUGGAGGAAAUGGAGGAGGGGCAGGUCCCUGCAGUAGAGGGAGGAGCAGAGAAAGGAGGCCAAGAGCUGGAUCCUUCUGCCCAGGAAGCCUGCUGCAUCCCUUCCCCCGAGCAUGGCAGAGGCCUGGCUUUGCAAGGCCAAGGCCAUAAGGGAUGCUUAGGAGAUUAAUUUGAUUCCUGACACAAUAAUCAAGCCCUAAGAGUCUCCACUGAAGCUUACUGAGGACUUCUUUCCUCUCCAAAGCCUCAGUCUAGCCUGCUAAAUAAAUUAGUAUUCAGUGAUGCCUUGGAUCAGGGCCCCUCCCCGGCCUCAGUUUCCCCAAAUAUUUAUUAAGUACCUACUGUGUGCAAUCCUUGUGUAAUUAUUAACUCUUAGGCUCUUCAUUUGCCCUCCUAAAGCAGUGUUUAGAGUCAGGCAGAGGUUAAGUGUGUUGCACCUCACCUAGAUACUUCCAGAACCUUCUCUGGGUCUGCAGAAUGUGGCACAACCUGCUUGCCCCCGCAGAGAGAAAGCUGCAGUGCACAUCCUGCAGACUGCAGGUGCUGGGCUGCCUCUGGAGUCCCAGAAGGCAAGCUUGGCUGCAGGACAGAAAGGGAGAACAGCUUCUCUCACCCCUGAGCCUUCACAAGCCCUUGUCUAUUUGCCGUUGCCUUCAAAAUAUACCUCCCCCGAAACCAGUAGCUUUCUGAGUCCUGGUGUCCCCUCCGCCCUUUCUGGACAGGUUUGGGAAGAAGAAAGCAGUCAGUGCUGGGCCUUAUUGGGGUGUGAAGCGCCUUGCUCUGCCCCUUCUGCUCACUGUGAAGGCCGCUGGAUGCUUCUCUUAGGCAUGGUUUAAGCCUCCGAUUACUAAACCCCUUGCCCCACAAACGUCCACAUUGACGAGCCUCUUUUUAGUAACUGCUUCCCCGUAAUUCCUUCAGAGGUUGCUGUACCCUUCGCUGAUGUGCUGCCCUCCUGUAAAACCUCCAGAUGCCUUCCCACGUAAUGCCCCUUUCAGAUGCUUUAAGCUGAGAGCUUAAACCACAGGUACCAUGGCUGACGCCUGCCAGGUUUCUGCUGCAGAUAAUCUAUGAUGGGAGGGGCAUAUUUUUUACUUCAUUACUUAUGUAAACUCUUGUUCCAGAAAGCUUUAAUGUGUGUGGGAGUGUUCUGGGUCUAUUAGGUCUGUGCGCAUGGGUGUGGGCAUUUGCCUGUGUCCACCGGGUGGGUCUCAUUAUGAAAUGUAUGUUUAUGUAGGGCUUUAAUGGCUGAAAAUGGCAAAGAGAUGAAUAGACCACUUGGCCCCAUGUGUAAUUGCCAGGCCCCUUCUGUGCUCAAAUGAGGUGUCCGAGUGAAGGUCAGCCCUUCCCUUCUGUAUUUGGGGCCUAUUUAUGCCACCAGUAAUUUUAUAAGAAAUCUGAAUAGUUCUCCCCUUUGAGUGCAUUUAACUCUUUAGUAUCUUCUCUCUUACCUAUUUGAGCCCCUCUAGCUACAGUCUGGCUUAAAUGAAAGGGGAAUUAUAUGCUUAAGAAAAAGUAGGACACGGUUGAGGCAGUUUGCUGACUGAAUACGCGAAGAAGGACCUGAUGGGCUCAUAUGCACCACUGCCAUCACAGUCCCCAUCGUGAUGCAAGCUUAUAUGAUUCUUGAGGUAACUCUACCAGAUACUUCCAGAUUUAGAAAUGUGUCAAAGGAAAAAUUGGUGAUACUCUUCUUUCCCCUGCCAGAAACAGCCCAGAUCUCCUCUUAAGCGGAAAAGAGAUUGACCUUCUAGCAGAGGCAAAGCCUUCUACUCCUACCUCAGCAUCUUGCCGCCUUCAUGUGGACAAUUAAUCAACAGCAACAGCAUAGUGUGAAGUAGAGAUAGAGUCUUGAUAUGUUCCCCAGGCUGCUCUGGAAUUCUUGGACUCAAGCAAUCCUCCUGACUUGGCCUCCCAAAGUGCUGGGAUUACAGGCUCCUAUUCCAAAUCGGAUGAAGCACUGAAAACAAAGCACUUUCACAUCCUUCACCCUGAUCUGUAGCAUAUUCUUCAGAACUCUUAUGAUUUCAAGUGACAGAAACCCAAUCUGAACCAGCUGAAACACUCAGAGGCAUUUAGUAUCUCAUGGAACCCAGUGCCCCAGGGACAGGCGGAAACGCUGACUUGAACAUCUCUUUCUGAGUUUCUCAUCUCAGCGCCUCUCUGCAGAUGUUGAAAUCUUCUUUUUUUCUGCUAACUGGCCUCUGCUUCCCAGGUUCACAGCAAGAAACAUGGCCAUUGGGAUGUCCCAAGCUUUGCAUUUUAUAGCCCAGCUUAGGUCAGGUGGCCACCCCUGUGCCAGUCAACUUGACCGAAUGGAUGGAAAACCUCAACUGAUCAAGCUGGAGUUAAGUGCAUGCAGGGAGCACCUAUGGUAACUGCGGAUGGCAGGGAGGGCAGCCACCUAGAAAAAGGUACUGCUGGCCAGGUAAGACCACAGGUAUCCACAACUACCACCAAUCUGCUGUGAACAGUUCCUCUGAAGUUGUGCAAUAAGCAAGCCGUGUGAUGCUGGUCUUGGUAGAAUAUCUUAUUUCUAAACUCCAAACCAUCAGAUUGGCCUCUACCUCCCCAUUUGCCCUCCUCAGAAGAUCUUGACACCCAAGUUCACCCCAUCCUCUGGAGUCCUGUGGUUUGAAAUACUGACCAUUUGUCCCAAUCCUGGAGCCAAGGUCCCAGCAUGCUCUGUGUCCAAGUUCAGAUUACCACAAAAGCUGGUUGUGAAGACCACAAGUUGUUACCUAUUUGUUUUUUAACCAGUUGUAUAUACAACAUUUGGUGCUUUUCACAACACCACACUACCUCUGUCUUACUGUACUGUUUCUCUCCCUAGCAAGCUACCAACAUUUCCUCUCUCCUCCCUAAAACAUGAAAAAAGGAGAGAGAGAGAGAGAGAGAGACGCAGGUAAUGCCUAUACUCUCAUCUCCUAAGGGGUCCUUGAGACAAUGGAUUCCAAAGAGCAGUUUGGAACAUGAAGAAAACCCCAAUGGGGAGGCCCUGCUCCCAAGUCUCACUAAUUCUGGAUUUAAUUCUCCCCUGUGGGCCAGGUGGUGAAUUAGUGGCCCUCCCACCCUACCUUCUGUUUUCUAUGAUCUCGUCUCAUCUAAUAAAGGCUCCAGAUCUGAAAGUCUCUGAGACCAGAACCUUAGUCCAAUUAAACCCUGCUAAAGCAAACAAACUUGGGAAAGACAAAGAGGUGAAGAGGUUAACAGCAGACAAAACCUCCACUGACAAGCUAAAUUAGCCUUGCCCACCUCAGGAGAAGGUGUAAGGUGGACAGCGGAGACUGCUGGUAGUGAUUAACAUUUGCUCGAAAUUCUAAGGAGCUAAUUUUUUUUCCAAGUUAAAUGUUAACCUGUGAAAAGAGGAACAGUAACUAUGCGAAGAGGAAUGUGAAGAAGAAAACAGAAAGACCAGCCUGCUGGGUGGAUGUCUUCCUCCCAAAGUAGUCGAGACCAGGGAUUCUGAGGAAUAGUUUUCCAUUUAUCCUUCAUCAUCUCCAUUCAACAGGGCCGCUGAGCUCCAGAUGAGCAUGGAAAGAUGGAGGAGCUGCCAAACCUGACUUUGGAGGCCCUGGUCAGGAGCCCGUUGGAGGCCUUCCAGUUUUACACCCUUUGUGAAUUUGUCCGUGGGGUGGGUUUGUUCUGAUGCCAUGAGUAGCUUCCACUGGAAAAGGCACCAUCUCCACCCAACAUUUUAGGUAUGCUGGUGCAUUGGGAGGACAUUCUUGGUGCCAAUAAUCGUCUGAAGAUUCUUUGCUAUCCUUUGGUAGAGGCUCUAUUUACCACAAUGAAGAGUAGAAAGAUUAUGAUGUGAGUGUGUUUUGGUGUGUGUGUGUGUGUGUGUGUAUGUGUGUGACUAUUAGUGAAAACUGCUAGUAGUAUGUCAGUGUGGAGAGAAAUUCAGUCCUCCCGCAAGUGGUGAGGCUCAAUAUUAAGGGACAGAACAUCAGUGAGCACCACAUUAAGGCACUAUUCUCGACAUCUGGGAAGAAGCAAAGAAAAAUGUGUCAUGCCUCUUACCUUUUAGGGACUUAUAAUACAGGAAAGAGAAGACUUGUAUAAAUGGCUAAAAAUAUACUGAGGAGUAUAACUAAUAACUAAUGCAGAGUGUGCUGGUAAAAGGUUGUGUGGGUUCAGGAAUGUCAAAAGUUGCAGCUGCUGUGAAAGCCAAUAUGGCGGGUCCUCAAAAAAUUAAAUGUAGAAUUACCAUAUGACUCGGCAACUCCACUUCCGGGUAUGUUCUUAAAACGAUUGAAAGCAGAGACUCAGACAGAUAAUUGCACACCCAUGUUCACAGCAGCAUUAUUCACAAUCGCCAAAAUGUGGAAGCAACCCAAGUGUCCACUGGCCAAUGAAUGAAUGAGUAAAACAUGCUAUGUAUCAACAGUAGAAUAUUAUUCAACCUUAAAAGGAAACAAAUUCUGGUACGUGUUACAACAUAGAUGAACCUUGAGUGGAAGAAGAAAACAGAAAGAGCAGUCCGCUGGGUGGAUGUCUUCUUCCCAAAGUAGUUGGGAUCAGGAAUGCUGAGAAACAAUUCCCCAUUCAUCCUUCAACAUCUCCAUUCAACAGGGCCACUGAGCUCCAGGAUGAGCAUGGAAGGAUGGAGGAGCUGCCAAGCUUGACCUUGGGGACCCAGGUCAGGAGCCUUCUGGAGACCUUCCAGUUUUAUGCCCUUCGUGAAUUUGUUUGUGGGAUGAACUCUAUGAAGUGAACUAAACCAAUCACACACAAAAAAUAAAACUGUAUGAUUCCACUUAUAUGAGGCACCUAGUCAAAUUCAGAGACAGAAAUAAAAAUGGGGGUUGAUAGGAGAGGGGAGGAUGGAAGAGUGGGAAGUUACUGUCAAUGGGAACAGAGUUUCAGUUUUGCAAAAGAGUUCUGGAAAUGAAUGGGGUAAUGACUGCACAACACUGUGAAGGUACUUAAUGCCCCUGAA